GAUGCUGCGAGGAUGCCGCCUUGCUCUUCUGGGGUCCAGGAAUUCCAACCUCCAUUGGCUUGUUGCUCUAAUUGCUCUUUAACUGUUGUCUGAGAAGAGGUGGAUAUGGGAAUAAGCGUUGCCAUAGCUCCCGGGGGCCAGGUGAACUUGGUACGAACCUUUGGUUGCGUUCUGGCGGCUGGUUACCCCGAAAGGCUGACGCUUAUUGGUGAGGAUCUUGAGUCCACAUCGACAUUGGCAGCAUGUAUGAUUUCUGACUUGGAGCCAAUCGGGAAGUAAAACGGCCGUUUAAUAUGGAUGGGCGUUGAAAAGAGGGACUUUUAGUUGGCUUCAGGGAUUAAAGUAUUUGAUGUGUAGCUGUCACCGAUUCAAUAGUGCAAGUGGCGAAGAGAUAUCGAUGUGGAAAGGGCCAUGUCUCUACAUCUCCUAAAUAGAGAUUUGUAGUGCGCAGGGUGACGGCCGAAUAACACCAGCAGAGUUGACCACGAGAAAACAAAGAGGAACCUUGAUAUUCCUUAUAAAAAUAAGUGGAAUGUCAAAAAACGUGCACAAAGGAUUUGGAGUAAAAACUGUCAAUGGCCUCAAGGGAGAGGAAGUAAAUUUCGACCUAGGCAGCAAGGAUAUCCUCGAUGGAAAUAUUUAUUGCGGCUGGAUAUUCGGAUACAUUGUGUAAACAGCCACCACUACAGAUAUGAUGGUAGCUACUACCAAAAAGAAACAGGAA
Molecule: small RNA, 724 nt
Filed under: Histoplasma capsulatum
Lineage: Eukaryota; Fungi; Ascomycota; Eurotiomycetes; Onygenales; Ajellomycetaceae
Also listed under: 1 other name
Description: hypothetical RNA
Source: RNAcentral